AUAAGGUUAUUCACAGACUUAUCAGUUAAAACCACAUUUUAUUUUUAAUCGUUUGAGCUGCUAUAUAUAGUGAAUUUAUUAUUGUGAUAUCGAUAUAACUUGGUUAUCUUUUUUAUUGCUGUUCCCUUUCUAUUUCCCUAGUACAUAUUGUGUGUUUUUCUUUGUGUUUUUGCCCCCCCCCCCCAAAAAAAAAAAAAUCUAUCAUAUUCAUCAGAGUUUUUAAGUUAAACAUACUAUAGGUGACUCGUUAUUAAUUAAGUUUAGUUUGUUCCGUUUCCUAGAGAUAUUGGACAUUAAUAUUUAUUGGCGUCCAUAAACAACGUCAUGAUUGGCGAAUUCUGUGCUCAAUCAUUUAGAAGUACCAUAGUCGUAAAAAGAGAAUGAUAUGAACGUACCUGUUGUCAAGGAUACCGGAAGACAAGUCUGUCGGUUGCAGAUGUAAAUGACGUCAUCGUUCAUUGAUACUCUGUUAUCGGCAAUAAUGCCUUACUCCACUCCAAUAGAGCCUAUCAGGGAGUUGAUUAUUUCUGCAAAAGAGAAGAGAGGGGGUAAAAGCAAUCACACGGAAGUGGAAAACAAAGUGAAGACUGCUCACUUCCAUCAAGAGAUGAGAACAGUAGGUUUUGUGCGCUUUCUAAUGUACUGGGGAGUUGUAUUCAACAACUUUUUUUUUCACAGCUAUAUCAAUUACUAACAUUUGUGUAUAUUCCGGGAUAGCGGUCUUUCAGCAUAAUAAAUGCAUAACAAAUGGACGAACUUUACUAGCGUAUCUUAUCACGGCAUUUAUGGAUUUACCCGGACCUGGGGAACGUCUCCCAGACAGUCGAUGGCCUGGUUGGUGAAAACAAAGGGGACCCUCUCUGGGCAGUAGGACACGGCGAAUGACAUGGCGACGGCCCUGCUCACUGCAGCUGCAUCAAGUGCAUCCUGUGAAUAAAGCAUGUAUCUCCAGAACCGGUAGCAUACCGAAAAGCAACCCAAACUGAUAAAACAAGAACUGCUUCAAGAACAUUUCAUCUGGGGCGAUGUCAUGAGCCAGAAGACAUAGUGUGAGCCACCCCCCCCCUCUCCCCCCCAAAAUGGGAAAGUGCUAAUUAAAGGAACCUGUGUUUGGGGAAGUGCCCCCCCACCCCCCAUUUUGAGGGGUGCUGGGCUUUUGUGGGGCAGUGUUUUUGUUUUCGCUGAUGAGGCUUUCAUGCCAUAUCCUCUUACCUUUGUACUCUCAGCAGCUAUGUUUCAUAAACACCAGGCGGAAAACAUCCUCUCCUGUUUGAAAUUUAGAUCGCCCGCUCUCGGCUCCCCGCAUUCCUGACGUGCUCUGCAUCCAUUCUGCGCCUCCUCAACCCAACGUAUUAGAUUUCCUCAAACAUCUCCGCUGCUCCUAAGUGACUGUGCGCCCUGUGCCUGUCACGUACAAACAUACCAUUCUUCUACAGUUUCCCUCAGUAAUUAUGCACCCAACUGUCCCUGUCACACUCUUGGUCAAUGGAAAUACUUGAGAUAAAUCUACGAAAAACCUGCUAAUUAACUGGAGGGGAUACCAACGUAUAUCCUGCACGCACUAUGUCUACUUUGUCUACUUUUUCUUUGAUUCAAGUUCGACGUCAUUUUGGAGGCUUGUGGGUAAGAGGAAGUUCUACCCCAGGUGAAAAAGAGAAGCACAAACUCCUCCCUCUUCCGCCACGUGGAUGCUGUGACUAGUCGGACUGAAGGCAUCUCCCUGUAGUUCAGGGUGGACAUGGGUGUUUGCGCCCCUUACACCAGCUUACGGCAGCAUGCUGGACUGGGCUGGUUUCAGGUAGCACCCCCCGAUAAAUCUCAGAAAGACCCCCUCUGCUAUUUCUGAUUGUAAUGACGUGUAUAUGUGGCUUCUCUUCCCUAGACGAGCCAGACAUGGUGUUGAAAGCCACAUUCACUUGUGAGCAGUUCAUCGCUUAAUCUUAGGGCCUCCCUGGCCCUUGUUGGCCUCUGUAUUCACCGCAUCCCCCCACAGGGGGCUGGUCACCUGCCAUGAGUGUGGGGUGAAGGUAAGUAAAAAGGCAGCCUUGCUGGAGUCAGCAGGGAGUCCGACAAGGAGAAAUAAAUGAAAAUAAAGAGGUUUGGAGUCACUGAACCAGCGACUGGGACGGCGACACAUGCCAUAUGAGAUUCUUCCUCAAUGACGACCCCCUGUGAGUCAGCAAAGGCCGAGCAGUGAGUAAACGGUAUUACCAGCCCCCUCCCCCGUGACAGGAGUGUCCGGUCGUGAGCAUCCCGUCGCUGGCCGUGCUGAGCUGGACUGAAUUUGUUUGUGGGAUUCGGUUUUAACAGGCUGCCAUGACUAAUCACUCUCUGGGCAGCGUGGCAUGUAAUUACUCUGCCCAAACGCUGGCUUUUCACAGAUUAGCGCUGCGUGGCCUGAGCUGCACCUCCCCAUCUUUCGUCGCCACCCCCCCAACCCCCACCCCUCCUCAGCUCACAACCCCCCCUUGGGGUCAUGUGGACGGAGAAGUUAAGCUUCUCCCCUUAUUUUGAAAACUCCCCCAUAUUUUGGUGUGUCAGGGCUGGGGCCCCGUUUCCGGCCGUUAACCGGCUUUUUGAAACCAGACCUGGGCUGAGGUCUGUCAUGGCCUUAGUGAGAAUGCUGAGACGGCAUACAUCAGUGCGCUCUGCAAACGUCCCCCUCAGCACGGGAAGAGAUGGAUGAACUGCGUGUUUUAUUUUUCAUUAGAACAAUCCAAGCUGCACACUUGAAGUCACAUCCACUAAGCUGACUGCUUGCUGGCUCUUCUCUUUGUCUCCCAGCUCACCCCCCUCAUCCCAUCACCGUGGAUACGACAACAAGCAGAAGCGAUGCUAAUUCAUCCUGAGGUGGGAGCACAUGGGGCAACAGUGCGUAGACUGCUGAAGACAGGAGCUUGACAGCUGCAUCAAAGGCCGGUGUGUAAACGUGAAGAGAUGGAGAAACAACCCCACCCCCACCCCCCACACUCACCACGGGGGCUCCGUUGAUCGAGGAAUCCAGGGCAUGGGGGGAAGAAAAUGCCGUGGAGAUGAAACAGAUGACAAAGGCGGCUGUAUUGUGGAGGUAGGGAUCACACAGGCAGAUGAGGUGAGUGAUAGACAAUAGCUGAUGUAAAAUUCCUUCACAUCUUCCCUGAUUCGUAUUCACAGAUUUCCUCUGCUCUCCGCCACACUCGCACUCGCACUGCCUGUCUCUUUUCUUCUCCGUCCCUUUCAUUUCCUCACCUUGCAUGUAGCCUUUACUCCCCUAAAAUAUUUGCUGUCUUUGUUCUCCGUCUAAAUGAUGCGUCUGAUCACCCGCAAUUCAAAGCUUUCCUGACAGAGUUUUUUUUUUCUCUCUGUCUCUCUCUCUAAUCUGUUUCUUCAGACUUCAUUUCCCUCCAUUUGAAUGUGAUUUUUCCCCCUGGAGUAGUACUUUAGCUCUUUCGAUGAUAUGACAUUAAUUGUGCAUUUGUUUACAUGAUUGUUUGCUAAAAAACUGGGUUAAAACCAAAGGUGGAAAAACAACAUAAAAAUGAAUAUUUGCAGCUGAUAAAUGCAUAAAUAACUGUCAAUAGAACCUGAAAGCCUUCUUCAUCUAAUGAAAGAGAUAUGUGAUUGUACAUUUGAUCUUUAAAAUUUCCAUAAUUUGGGUAGCAAAAAAAAAUUUAGGCUUUCAUCCCAGGAAUGUCAGCCAUCCACCUUGAUUUUGAACCAGGAAGAAUCAUUCUCUAAGUAUUACACCAGUAGCUGGAUUAUAAACAUUAAGGUCAAGAAACCAGCCAAUCAGAUCAGUCCUCUUAUCUCAAAUAGUGGUCGGCCAUUUUCUGGCUUCUUUACCUCUGUGCCGACCUGCUACAGAGAGGAAAAAAGUACAUUGCCUCUAAUUGUGGGAGUGGUUAAAAUGAACAGGGGGACAGGCCCCCCCCACCGCCAGACUUGUGCAUAGUUACGCAGGUGCCAGCAUUCGCUAAAUCAGUCCCCGAAUAAAGCGGUAAUCAUCUGCGGGCAGAUCUGCAUGCCGAACAGCAUUUGUUUUGCUUGUGGGGGAGUCUGGCAUGCGAUAAUUUAGGUGGGAAUUGUUUGACAAAGCUGGUUAGCUUGAGGAGCGACUCGGUGGAGGGAAUGCACAGCCCCCUUUACACUGGAAAGAGAGAACAUUACUCAUUGUUGAAGUGAUGCAUUGGAAGUGAUAUCAUGGACCUCCAGGGUACAAGCUGAGAAAAGGUCUUUGAUAUAUUUAAAGAACAAACUGUUAAGGAAAUGGGGGAGGGGGGGGAUCGCCUGCUUUUCAGCUGCUCGAAAAAUCAAUGGGCCUGACAGCACAUUUCUGGGCGUAUAUCUUAGUAACGAUAUUUUCAAUCUGCAACCUGUAAUGAGUCUGUAAAACAAACAAAGGUGUACAAAACGGAGAUAAACAGACACGACUUCAUCUGCCGUUCGCGCCGGAUGCUGCCCGGGUACAACCUGGAAUCUCGCCGCACACCUCAUACGGUCCUGCACGUGGGCCAAAGCCCCGCCCCUGUCCUUUGCUGGAGCUGACGGUGAUUGAUGGGAUGGGGGGCGGGGGGGGGGGGGCUGAAUCCACCGGCAUGACUGAGCCACGCUUUGAAGUCACCCAAGAAGGACAUAAAUUGAUAUAUCAGCUUAAGCCGUAGACCCUAUUAAGGUAGUCCCUGGCAGGUUAAUGCGAUACUCCUCACCUUACCUUCCCCUCCAUGAGCGCCACUGCGGCUCCAGGCCAGCAGGCCACAAACCCAUUUUAUUUUUCCACGGGUGACGUUCCUCUGACUGCAGCUGCCCUGACAGGAAAUGGCAACGCGCUGAAUGCUCAGCCGUUAUCCUACGCCCCCCCGGUCUUAGCCUCUGGCCGACAGGCUGGCUUUUCUCUAACAUUAGCCAGGAUUCUGGGACUUGGGCAGCUCAGUCACGGUGUGAUGUUAUGCCCUCCUGACAUCUCCCCCCCCGAGUUAAGCUCCGGUCAAAGCUGCAAUUAAGGGCCCUUUUAGGGUCUCCUGGUGAACCCCGCCUGCCAAGUGUUCAUCUAUUUUUAAUGCCAGGCAGCAUUUUUAAUUUUUAAUUAAUUCACGUGCCCAGUACAGAAUCGGCUCAAACUCUAGGACGCUCACCUCUCUCUGUGUCGCAGUCGGUUCCGCUUUGUUUUCUUUUCCACUCCUCACCUGUACAUGUUGGUCGAUUCCACUUCAUGUCACAGGGGCCAUGGGCUGGGUAGCCACUCUUAGGUGAGGAGAUCAUGAUGUGUGUUUUAUCCAUCUCCCCACAAUCAGCGUCAUGAACCAGUCUGUUCUUUCCCAUGUGGGCCUCUGGUGAAGGGCACCCAUCCUUCUAUCCAGGGAGUCGCACAGCGAAAAGAUGACGGACACAGGAGAUACUACACUGAGGAAAGGGUAGAGAGCAAAAACAAUAACAAUUCCUUCUUCUACAGAGGAAGAUGGAAAAAGAAAGUAGGAUCCCGGCUGCAGAACGUUUGGACCUGGAUGAUUUAGAU
This is a long non-coding RNA of Brienomyrus brachyistius, 5491 nucleotides long. RefSeq lists it as uncharacterized. The transcript is spliced from 5 exons. The record is from RefSeq and is a predicted model, not a curated record. NCBI's taxonomy places the organism in Eukaryota, Metazoa, Chordata, Actinopteri, Osteoglossiformes, Mormyridae.